Molecule: ribosomal RNA, 429 nt
Filed under: Acidobacterium sp. Ellin457
Lineage: Bacteria; Pseudomonadati; Acidobacteriota; Terriglobia; Terriglobales; Acidobacteriaceae
Description: bacterial SSU rRNA
Rfam family: Bacterial small subunit ribosomal RNA
Source: RNAcentral
UGAUCAUGGCUCAGAAUCAACGCUGGCGGCGUGCCUAACACAUGCAAGUCGCACGAGAAAGGGUAGCAAUAUCUGAGUAAAGUGGCGCACGGGUGAGUAACACGUGAAUGAUCUACCUCCGAGUGGGGAAUAACUGAGAGAAAUCUUAGCUAAUACCGCAUAACACUUACGAGUCAAAGCAGCAAUGCGCUUGGAGAGGAGUUCGCGGCAGAUUAGUUAGUUGGCAGGGUAAUGGCCUACCAAGACGAUGAUCUGUAUCCGGCCUGAGAGGGCGCACGGACACACUGGAACUGAAACACGGUCCAGACUCCUACGGGAGGCAGCAGUGGGGAAUUUUGCGCAAUGGGGGAAACCCUGACGCAGCAACGCCGCGUGGAGGAUGAAAUCCCUUGGGAUGUAAACUCCUUUCGAUAGGGAAGAUUAUGCCGG